RNAcentral lists this long non-coding RNA (249 nucleotides) under Brassica napus (rape). RNAcentral's name for it is "long non-coding RNA (BNAP_LNC020773)". The record is from RNAcentral. Lineage: Eukaryota; Viridiplantae; Streptophyta; Magnoliopsida; Brassicales; Brassicaceae.
GUAGAAAAGACAAGAUGUUGAUUUUUUAAAAAGGACCACCUUCAAAAUAUUGUUGUUUAUGGAGUUUAUUAAGCAUAUACACAUGGAAAUCUAUAUAGAUAUGUCAUUCCCCACAAGUUAUGUGACAUUUUUUUCAAUUCUCUGUUCUUUCCCUUUCGUCGCCGCUGCUCACAUUAAUUACCCCUGUCACUUUCAUAGUUACCUAAUCUUCUCUCAAUAAACCAAUCUAGUCAGUCUAAAAACAACUAA